RNAcentral lists this ribosomal RNA (359 nucleotides) under Euscorpius italicus. Its description in RNAcentral is "partial 16S ribosomal RNA". Lineage: Eukaryota; Metazoa; Arthropoda; Arachnida; Scorpiones; Euscorpiidae. The record is from RNAcentral.
UAGNNANCCUUCCUUGAAUUUUAUUAUCGCAUGAAAAAGGUAUCUUAAUCCAACAUCGAGGUCACAAACUUUCUUGAUGAUAAGAACUCUUUAAGAAAAUUAUGCUGUUAUCCCUAUAGUAACUUAUUCCUUUUUAAAAAUUUUUUGAUUUUUCAAGAAUUGUAUUCAUAUUAUAAAAAUAAAAUUUUUAUUUAUUUACUGCCCCAGUAAAAUAAUUUUUAAUUUAUUCUGAUAUUAAAUUAUAAUUAUAAAGCUUAAUAGGGUCUUCUUGUCUUUAAUGUUAAUUUUAGCUUUUUUACUAAAAUAUAAAAUUUGAAGUAUAAUAAUAAGACAUGAUUAAUUAGUUAAACCAUUCAUUC